UUAAGUGGGAAGAUAGGUCAGAAAGGACAAAAGAGGGCUCAGGGAAGAGCAGGAUGAAAGAUAAUGGAGGUCAGAGAUGCUGAAGCACAGCAUGGUCACAGGAAGUUUGAGCGUGGCUCAAGCGCUGAUUUAGUGGAGGGACUUUGGACAAUCCAGGAGAAACUGCCAGAAAUCUCCAGAGAGACACCAAGGGAGAUCACUCUAUACAAAAUAUAUGGGUACUUUUUCUAAUACAAGAUUAUUAUACAGCAGCCUCCUGCAGCUGCUGGAAGAGGCCCAGGGAGUAGGUCAGGGAGUCCCCUUGUGCUUCUUUGGGAAUAGAUUCGGCUCUAGAAGUCAGUGCAUCCAACUUGCAGAUCACAAGGACCAGUAUUAAGGAUGGAAAACCACCAGCAGAAGCUCCAUGCAAAGGAAAGGCAGCGUGGAAAAAACUAUUUGCAAAUCCAUAGUGAGACCAAGGUGGUUAACAGAGUAAAUGGUUACUUACCACA
Molecule: long non-coding RNA, 491 nt
Organism: Pseudopipra pipra
Lineage: Eukaryota; Metazoa; Chordata; Aves; Passeriformes; Pipridae
Exons: 3
Source: RefSeq, a predicted model, not a curated record